Nicotiana tabacum (common tobacco) is the source of this 1530-nucleotide non-coding RNA. NCBI's taxonomy places the organism in Eukaryota, Viridiplantae, Streptophyta, Magnoliopsida, Solanales, Solanaceae. The record is from RefSeq and is a predicted model, not a curated record.
UAUAAAUAGGGACCUCUUGUAUUGUAUUUAUCAUCGAAUAUCAAUAACAUAUUUUCUCCCGUGCCUUCUCACAUUAGGCAUGUGGCCGUUUUAGGCCGUGCACAGCACGGACACAUGCCAUCUAGUAUUAUUUUAACUAUGUGAAAGUCCCUUGGACGACCAAGGGUACUUGUUCGGUAAUACAUAUACUUUUAGGGAUAACUUAGUAAUCCUAGCCUCAUUAAAGUUCUACCCGGAGACUUCGAGGUGUUCAAUUUGAAGCACUGCGUGGGUUUAGGGUUUCCCCCACCCUUUUGCCUUUUUCUCUCCAUAUCAAAAGCAACAUUCUCAGUUUUUAAUCUCUCUUUCUAUCGCUUUAAUGUAUCUCUUCCUGGUGAGUUCCUUUUCUUACUCCACUUAAUUUUUUGCUCAGUUUUUGGUUUAGUAGUUUAAUUUCUCUUUAAUUUUAUCUUUUACCUUUUGGGUCUUUUGAAGAUGAACACCAUUUCUAAUUUUGUAAUGUUAUAAAUAAAUGGACACCUUCUUCGCGUUUUUCUCUGUUUUAUCAGCAAUGCAUGCGUUUGUUCCUGCUUUACAAUAAAAUUUUGACAUCUUAAACUUUUGAGUAGGUACGGAAUAUUUGCAUACUUGAUUCCAAAGACGCUACAUUCUUUUAAUUUUUCUGUUUUCUCGCCCCAUCUUGGAUAUGCAUGUCAUGAUUUGUCACAUAUGUUGUAGCUUGAUAUUGUGUAGUAGUUCCGUCUAUUCGAGAAAUCAGAGAGUUAUAGGCACAACCUAUGUUGUCUGGCCCUUCUCUUGUGUCUCAAUGGUGUGUGUUGGUGUUUACAAAUGGGUUUCCACCACUCAGCUCGAUGAACUAGCCGCCAAAACUUUCACUGUCUUGACUACUAAUCAUUGGUUAUGAGUUGGUAGAGUUAUUCUUGAAAAUCUAAGGAUAAGACAAUGCACCUAACAUAUGCUAGCAUAAUUUAUGAAGACAAAUUCUGAAGGAGAGAGUACAAGAGGAUGUCUCUCGGAGAUCUUGUAGCGGAAAUUAGGAGUAAAAAUAAUUGGAAGAGAUGGAUCCAAAACUUUAGAUAUAUCGGAGUUCCUGGAAUUUUGUUGUUCUGGUCUUCCAAGGAAUAUAUGUAUUCCAUCUCAAUUGAAGUUGCUCAUGUUACUUUUCUGGUUAUGCUACCAAGAAAAAGGGAAAACAUCCUGUAAGGUUGUUAUGAGUAUGAAGAAAUGGAAAGGUUUUGGUAUUUCUGUCGAAUGCUACUGCAAAAGAAGGCUUAUAACUACAAAGGUUUGUGGACUUAUGGACUUUCAAAGAAACCAUCUUCUUUUGUCCAAAUGUGUAAAUAGGUUCUCAUGUAAACAAGCUGAAUAAUGUACUUACGGAAGCGAGCUCAACAAUGUACUAUGUUACAAGUACAUAUAAUCCUUUGGUAUCUUGUACAUCUUUAUUCCUCAGUGGAUACUUAUUGUAUGAAGCAUUAAUAUGUUCUGAAUAUUUAAUUAAUUUGUUAAUAUUACUUACUUUAUUAGCAA